UCCCCUCUGGCGCACGACGUCCUCGAGGUUAGCAAGGCUGACUAUGACUCCUGCAGCACCGUCAACCCUAUCGCGUCCCUCAUCUCCGGGAACGACAUCGUCACCCUCACCGCCGCCGGCACCCGCUACUUCAUUUGUGGGUUCCCCGGCCACUGCACUGGUGGCAUGAAGGUCAAGAGCGACGUCGUGUCUGACUCCUCCUCGCCAUCACUCACCCCGGCCAGCGGCCCUAUGGCAAGCAACGCUCCUUCACCCACGUCUGUCUCUACCGCCACCUCUGUGGAGGCCACGGGGUUUGGCCUCGCCGUCCUGCUUGCCUUUGCUGGUCUCAUGGCUUGA
Molecule: ribosomal RNA, 339 nt
Filed under: Triticum aestivum (bread wheat)
Lineage: Eukaryota; Viridiplantae; Streptophyta; Magnoliopsida; Poales; Poaceae
Description: partial small subunit ribosomal RNA
Source: RNAcentral